CCCUUAGAUGUCCUGGGCCGCACGCGCGUUACACUGAUGCAUUCAACGAGCUUAUAACCUUGGCCGAGAGGCCUGGGCAAUCUUGUUAACGUGCAUCGUGAUGGGGAUAGAUUAUUGAAAUUAUUAAUCUUGAACGAGGAAUUCCUAGUAAACGCAGAUCAUCAAUCUGCAUUGAUUGCGUCCCUGCCCUUUGUACACACCGCCCGUCGCACCUACCGAUUGGAUGGUCCGGUGAAGCCUCGGGAUUGUGGUUCUUGCCGCUUUAUUGUGGCGUGACCGCGAGAACUUGUCUAAACCUUAUCAUCUAGAGGAAGGUGAAGUCGUAACA
RNAcentral lists this ribosomal RNA (328 nucleotides) under uncultured eukaryote. RNAcentral's name for it is "partial 18S ribosomal RNA". It matches the Rfam family "Eukaryotic small subunit ribosomal RNA", at positions 1470 to 1796 of the family's 1831-position model. The record is from RNAcentral.